AGAAGCAAAGCCGCGAGGUAGAGCAAAUCUCAAAAAAACAUCUCAGUUCAGACUGCAGGCUGCAACUCGCCUGCACGAAGUCGGAAUUGCUAGUAAUCGUAGGUCAGCAUACUACGGUGAAUACGUUCCCGGGCCUUGUACACACCGCCCGUCAAACCAUGAGAGUUGGCAACACCCGAAGUCGGUAGUCUAACCGCAAGGAGGACGCCGCCGAAGGUGGGGUUGAUGAUUAGGGUUAAGUCGUAACAAGGUACC
RNAcentral lists this ribosomal RNA (255 nucleotides) under uncultured bacterium. RNAcentral describes it as "partial 16S ribosomal RNA". It matches the Rfam family "Bacterial small subunit ribosomal RNA", at positions 1245 to 1500 of the family's 1533-position model. The record is from RNAcentral.